This 301-nucleotide ribosomal RNA is filed under the name uncultured bacterium. RNAcentral's name for it is "partial 16S ribosomal RNA". It matches the Rfam family "Bacterial small subunit ribosomal RNA", at positions 509 to 808 of the family's 1533-position model. The record is from RNAcentral.
CAGUAGCCGCGGUAAUACGUAGGGUGCGAGCGUUAAUCGGAAUUACUGGGCGUAAAGCGUGCGCAGGCGGUUUUGUAAGACAGAGGUGAAAUCCCCGGGCUCAACCUGGGAACUGCCUUUGUGACUGCAAGGCUAGAGUACGGCAGAGGGGGAUGGAAUUCCGCGUGUAGCAGUGAAAUGCGUAGAUAUGCGGAGGAACACCGAUGGCGAAGGCAAUCCCCUGGGCCUGUACUGACGCUCAUGCACGAAAGCGUGGGGAGCAAACAGGAUUAGAUACCCCCGUAGUCCCGUCUCUUAUACA